Leptonychotes weddellii (Weddell seal) is the source of this 542-nucleotide non-coding RNA. The record is from RefSeq and is a predicted model, not a curated record. NCBI's taxonomy places the organism in Eukaryota, Metazoa, Chordata, Mammalia, Carnivora, Phocidae.
ACUAGCCCAAGGUCACAGAGCAAGCUGGUAGCAGAGCCUGGUUGGAAAGUCUGUCCUUGGGGCUCCCUGUGCUUCUCACACUCCCCAUCGGUGUCUGUGACUUCUCCCCUCCGCACCUGUCCCACUGUAGAGCCUGUACGUGGCCAGCCUAUGCCAGCUCAGACGCCUUGAGUCAGCCAGACACUCACGCGUGUGUUCCCACGUGGCCGAGACCUUCCAGGGCAACGCAGUGGUCAGAGCCUUCCAGGCCCAGUGCCCCUUUGUGGCUCAGAAUGACACAAACGUGGACGAAAGCCAGAGAGUCAGUUUCCCACGGCUGGUGGCUGAGAGGUGGCUGGCUGCCAACAUAGAGCUGCUGGGAAACGUGCUGGUGUUGGCGGCCUCCGUGUGUGCCGUGCUGAGGAAGGCCCACCUUAGCGCCGGCCUCGUGGGCUUCUCGGUGUCCGCCACCCUCCAGAUGACGCAGACGCUACAGUGGGCUGUUCGCAGCUGGACGGACCUGGAGAGUAGCAUCAUGUCAGUGGAGCGGAUGAAGGACUAUG